This 448-nucleotide ribosomal RNA is filed under the name uncultured bacterium. Its description in RNAcentral is "bacterial SSU rRNA". It matches the Rfam family "Bacterial small subunit ribosomal RNA", at positions 329 to 794 of the family's 1533-position model. The record is from RNAcentral.
UGCCAGACUCCUACGGGAGGCAGCAGUGGGGAAUAUUGCACAAUGGGGGAAACCCUGAUGCAGCAACGCCGCGUGAGUGAGGAAGUAUUUCGGUAUGUAAAGCUCUAUCAGCAGGGAAGAAAAUGACGGUACCUGACUAAGAAGCCCCGGCUAACUACGUGCCAGCAGCCGCGGUAAUACGUAGGGGGCAAGCGUUAUCCGGAUUUACUGGGUGUAAAGGGAGCGUAGACGGCAUGGCAAGUCAGAUGUGAAAGCCCGGGGCUCAACCCCGGGACUGCAUUUGAAACUGUCAGGCUGGAGUGCAGGAGAGGUAAGUGGAAUUCCUAGUGUAGCGGUGAAAUGCGUAGAUAUUAGGAGGAACACCAGUGGCGAAGGCGGCUUACUGGACUGUAACUGACGUUGAGGCUCGAAAGCGUGGGGAGCAAACAGGAUUAGAUACCCUCGUAGU